GGGGCAGCAUGGGGGAGUAGCAAUACUCUCUGAUGGCGACCGGUGCAAGGGUGCGUAACGCGUGAGCAACUUGCCCUCAUCAGGGGAAUAAUCGCUGGAAACGGCGUCUAAUGCCCCAUGGUGAUGUCCUCAGGCAUCUGAGGUCAUCUAAAGAUCCGUCGGAUGGGGAUAGGCUCGCGUGACAUUAGCUAGACGGCGGGGUAACGGCCCACCGUGGCGACGAUGUCUAGGGGUUCUGAGAGGAAGGUCCCCCACACUGGAACUGAGACACGGUCCAGACUCCUACGGGAGGCAGCAGUGAGGAAUAUUGGUCAAUGGCCGGAAGGCUGAACCAGCCAUGCCGCGUGAAGGUCAGUGCCCUAUGGGCGUUAAACUUCUUUUGUGCGGGAGCAAUAAUGGUCACGUGUGGCCAGACGAGAGUACCGUACGAAUAAGCAUCGGCUAACUCCGUGCCAGCAGCCGCGGUAAUACGGGGGAUGCAAGCGUUAUCCGGAUUUAUUGGGUUUAAAGGGUGCGUAGGCUGUGAGGUAAGUCAGCGGUGAAAUGCCCCCGCUCAACGGGGUGAAGUGCCAUUGAUACUGCCUUGCUGGAAUGCGGAUGCCGU
RNAcentral lists this ribosomal RNA (604 nucleotides) under uncultured bacterium. Its description in RNAcentral is "bacterial SSU rRNA". It matches the Rfam family "Bacterial small subunit ribosomal RNA", at positions 66 to 658 of the family's 1533-position model. The record is from RNAcentral.